Salmo salar (Atlantic salmon) is the source of this 54-nucleotide non-coding RNA. The record is from Rfam. NCBI's taxonomy places the organism in Eukaryota, Metazoa, Chordata, Actinopteri, Salmoniformes, Salmonidae.
UGCAUACGAUACUGUAAGUCGCUCUGGAUAAGAGCGUCAGCUAAAUGACUAAAA